UAGCUCAAUGGUAGAGCUCCUGCUUCAUAUGCGGGAAGACCUGGGUACGAUUCCCCG
RNAcentral lists this transfer RNA (57 nucleotides) under Toxocara canis (dog roundworm). It matches the Rfam family "tRNA", at positions 8 to 63 of the family's 71-position model. From Rfam's summary of the family: Transfer RNA (tRNA) molecules are approximately 80 nucleotides in length. Their secondary structure includes four short double-helical elements and three loops (D, anti-codon, and T loops). Lineage: Eukaryota; Metazoa; Nematoda; Chromadorea; Rhabditida; Toxocaridae. The record is from Rfam by way of RNAcentral.